RNAcentral lists this ribosomal RNA (352 nucleotides) under Salmonella enterica. RNAcentral's name for it is "bacterial SSU rRNA". It matches the Rfam family "Bacterial small subunit ribosomal RNA", at positions 97 to 452 of the family's 1533-position model. Lineage: Bacteria; Pseudomonadati; Pseudomonadota; Gammaproteobacteria; Enterobacterales; Enterobacteriaceae. The record is from RNAcentral.
GGCGGACGGGUGAGUAAUGUCUGGGAAACUGCCUGAUGGAGGGGGAUAACUACUGGAAACGGUGGCUAAUACCGCAUAACGUCGCAAGACCAAAGAGGGGGACCUUCGGGCCUCUUGCCAUCAGAUGUGCCCAGAUGGGAUUAGCUAGUAGGUGGGGUAACGGCUCACCUAGGCGACGAUCCCUAGCUGGUCUGAGAGGAUGACCAGCCACACUGGAACUGAGACACGGUCCGGACUCCUACGGGAGGCAGCAGUGGGGAAUAUUGCACAAUGGGCGCAAGCCUGAUGCAGCCAUGCCGCGUGUAUGAAGAAGGCCUUCGGGUUGUAAAGUACUUUCAGCGGGGAGGAAGGU